Lolium rigidum is the source of this 477-nucleotide long non-coding RNA. RefSeq lists it as uncharacterized. NCBI's taxonomy places the organism in Eukaryota, Viridiplantae, Streptophyta, Magnoliopsida, Poales, Poaceae. The record is from RefSeq and is a predicted model, not a curated record. The transcript has 3 exons.
CAACCUCCAAGCCAAAGAGCAGAGCGCGUACGUGUUCUAACUGACACGGGAAAAUACCGAUUUCAUCGCCGAUUUCGUUCUGAUAUCGUUGUUCCCUUGCCACGAAAAUACCUCUAUAAAUACCUCUGUUUAUCCUCCGUAUUUCCCCUUUGAAACCCUAAAAAUCGCGCCGCCAUUCCGCAGGAUUUCUUCGCCGCAGUUCAUCUCGACCACCACGACGUCGAUUCCGACGAAGCGCGCUGUCGUUCAUCGAUCUCCGGCCGCCUCUACUCGCAGUUCCAGGAAGAACACGAGCAUCACGACCACGCCUUCGAGUUCCCAACAUCAAGCCGCACCCGGUCCUCUACAUCCCAAGACCGCGGGAUCCCUAUAUUGACGACGACCUGAAUGCCCGGCUCGCCGCCGUGUUCGGACACCAUCGUACGGAGUUUAAUACCUGUUGUUGCAAGGAGAGUGCGAACGCCAGCGACAAAUAAG